AAAGUCGGAAUGGGUGUGUAAAGAUUUCUGACAGGAAGAGGGAAACAAGCAACCCUCGUUCGGUGCGGGUAAUCAUUCCAACGGUUCCGCAUUGAUGCCGCUGCU
This 105-nucleotide non-coding RNA is filed under the name unclassified sequences. RNAcentral's name for it is "Methylobacterium-1 RNA". It matches the Rfam family "Methylobacterium-1 RNA". The record is from RNAcentral. RNAcentral also lists the same sequence under 1 other name.